RNAcentral lists this ribosomal RNA (541 nucleotides) under Alternaria tenuissima. RNAcentral's name for it is "eukaryotic LSU rRNA". The stretch from base 164 to 317 matches the Rfam family "5.8S ribosomal RNA". Lineage: Eukaryota; Fungi; Ascomycota; Dothideomycetes; Pleosporales; Pleosporaceae. The record is from RNAcentral.
CAAAUAUGAAGGCGGGCUGGAACCUCUCGGGGUUACAGCCUUGCUGAAUUAUUCACCCUUGUCUUUUGCGUACUUCUUGUUUCCUUGGUGGGUUCGCCCACCACUAGGACAAACAUAAACCUUUUGUAAUUGCAAUCAGCGUCAGUAACAAAUUAAUAAUUACAACUUUCAACAACGGAUCUCUUGGUUCUGGCAUCGAUGAAGAACGCAGCGAAAUGCGAUAAGUAGUGUGAAUUGCAGAAUUCAGUGAAUCAUCGAAUCUUUGAACGCACAUUGCGCCCUUUGGUAUUCCAAAGGGCAUGCCUGUUCGAGCGUCAUUUGUACCCUCAAGCUUUGCUUGGUGUUGGGCGUCUUGUCUCUAGCUUUGCUGGAGACUCGCCUUAAAGUAAUUGGCAGCCGGCCUACUGGUUUCGGAGCGCAGCACAAGUCGCACUCUCUAUCAGCAAAGGUCUAGCAUCCAUUAAGCCUUUUUUUCAACUUUUGACCUCGGAUCAGGUAGGGAUACCCGCUGAACUUAAGCAUAUCAAAAGCCCGGAGGAAA